CCAGCAGGGUUGGUUCCUUCUGGAGGA
Molecule: non-coding RNA, 27 nt
Filed under: Homo sapiens (human)
Lineage: Eukaryota; Metazoa; Chordata; Mammalia; Primates; Hominidae
Source: RNAcentral